Long non-coding RNA from Mauremys mutica (yellowpond turtle), 204 nucleotides. RefSeq lists it as uncharacterized. NCBI's taxonomy places the organism in Eukaryota, Metazoa, Chordata, Testudines, Geoemydidae. The record is from RefSeq and is a predicted model, not a curated record. The transcript has 3 exons.
AUCCUACAAAUGCAAGUUGCAAUGCUACUGAUUGGAUCCAUAUACUAAUUCUGAUACAAGUUGGCCCAACUUUCAUCAUUUCUGCCAUCAACUCAUACAUCAAUUAUAGACAUUGGAUGCAGAUACUAAUUCUGAUACCAAUUGGCCUGAUUUUUAUCAUCUCCACUAUCAUCCUGUUCAUCCGUUAUAAACAUGAGCAUUGUG